This 446-nucleotide long non-coding RNA is filed under the name Ananas comosus (pineapple). Its description in RNAcentral is "long non-coding RNA (ACOM_LNC006896)". Lineage: Eukaryota; Viridiplantae; Streptophyta; Magnoliopsida; Poales; Bromeliaceae. The record is from RNAcentral.
UGUUUUGUUGAUGAUUUUAAACAUUACAAGAAGAGUAAGAUGAUAAAACUAAAGGUGUCCGUGAACCGGAUCGGGUCUGGAGAGCUAAUAUACUGUAUCCGUACCCUAAAAAAAAAUGGUCAGAAAAAUAUAUAUAUACCUUACCAAUUUAACUUACUACAACAAAAACGGCCUAUAACGACACUUUUAAAUGUAGGUACAUGUCAAAAAAGUGCUGCUAGCUAAAAUUACCGACACUUUUAAAAAGUGUUGCUAUAUGUGGGGUCGCUAGGCAUAUAGUGACAGUUAAAGAGUGUCGCUAUAACCUAAAAGAGUGCUGCUAAUUUAUCAACAAUUAUUUAAGCAUUUAGCAACCGCCGAAACUCUAUCUCGUUGGCUGCGGUGGCGGAGGAGGACGACAGGAAAGGCUCUUCGUCUAGAAUUUCAGUGGAUUGAGUGAAGAGAGA